ACGCUAGCUACAGGCUUAACACAUGCAAGUCGAGGGGCAGCAUGGUCUUAGCUUGCUAAGGCCGAUGGCGACCGGCGCACGGGUGAGUAACACGUAUCCAACCUGCCGUCUACUCUUGGACAGCCUUCUGAAAGGAAGAUUAAUACAAGAUGGCAUCAUGAGUCCGCAUGUUCACAUGAUUAAAGGUAUUCCGGUAGACGAUGGGGAUGCGUUCCAUUAGAUAGUAGGCGGGGUAACGGCCCACCUAGUCUUCGAUGGAUAGGGGUUCUGAGAGGAAGGUCCCCCACAUUGGAACUGAGACACGGUCCAAACUCCUACGGGAGGCAGCAGUGAGGAAUAUUGGUCAAUGGGCGAGAGCCUGAACCAGCCAAGUAGCGUGAAGGAUGACUGCCCUAUGGGUUGUAAACUUCUUUUAUAAAGGAAUAAAGUCGGGUAUGCAUACCCGUUUGCAUGUACUUUAUGAAUAAGGAUCGGCUAACUCCGUGCCAGCAGCCGCGGUAAUACGGAGGAUCCGAGCGUUAUCCGGAUUUAUUGGGUUUAAAGGGAGCGUAGAUGGAUGUUUAAGUCAGUUGUGAAAGUUUGCGGCUCAACCGUAAAAUUGCAGUUGAUACUGGAUAUCUUGAGUGCAGUUGAGGCAGGCGGAAUUCGUGGUGUAGCGGUGAAAUGCUUAGAUAUCACGAAGAACUCCCGAUUGCGAAGGCAGCCUGCUAAGCUGCAACUGACAUUGAGGCUCGAAAAGAUGUGGGGUAAUCAAACAGGAUUAGAUACCCCUGGUAGUCCACACGGUGAACGAUGAAUACUCGCUGUUUGCGAUAUUACGGCAAGCGGCCAAGCGAAAGCGUUAAAGUAUUCCACCUGGGGAGUACGCCGGCAACGGUGAAACUCAAAGGAAUUGACGGGGGCCCGCACAAGCGGAGGAACAUGUGGUUUAAUUCGAUGAUACGCGAGGAACCUUACCCGGGCUUAAAUUGCAGAUGAAUUACGGUGAAAGCCGUAAGCCGCAAGGCAUCUGUGAAGGUGCUGCAUGGUUGUCGUCAGCUCGCGCCGUGAGGUGUCGGCUUAAGUGCCAUAACGAGCGCAACCCUUGUUGUCAGUUACUAACAGGUUCCGCUGAGGACUCUGACAAGACUGCCAUCGUAAGAUGUGAGGAAGGUGGGGAUGACGUCAAAUCAGCACGGCCCUUACGUCCGGGGCUACACACGUGUUACAAUGGGGGGUACAGAGGGCCGCUACCACGCGAGUGGAUGCCAAUCCCAAAAACCUCUCUCAGUUCGGACUGGAGUCUGCAACCCGACUCCACGAAGCUGGAUUCGCUAGUAAUCGCGCAUCAGCCACGGCGCGGUGAAUACGUUCCCGGGCCUUGUACACACCGCCCGUCAAGCCAUGGGAGCCGGGGGUACCUGAAGUGCGUAACCGCGAGGAGCGCCCUAGGGUAAAACUGGUGAC
Molecule: ribosomal RNA, 1446 nt
Filed under: uncultured organism
Description: SSU rRNA
Rfam family: Bacterial small subunit ribosomal RNA
Source: RNAcentral